CAGCAGGCGCGCAAAUUACCCAAUCCUGACACAGGGAGGUAGUGACAAUAAAUAACGAUACAGGGCCCUUACGGGUCUUGUAAUUGGAAUGAGUACAAUGUAAACACCUUAACGAGGAACAAUUGGAGGGCAAGUCUGGUGCCAGCAGCCGCGGUAAUUCCAGCUCCAAUAGCGUAUAUUAAAGUUGUUGCAGUUAAAAAGCUCGUAGUUGAACUUUGGGCCUGGUCGGCCGGUCCGGAUUUUUCCGCGUACUGGUUUUCUUCCGACCGGGCCUCUCCUUCUGGCUAGCCCUGGGUCCCUGUGGCCCUUGGUGAACCAGGACUUUUACUUUGAAAAAAUUAGAGUGUUCAAAGCAGGCGUAUUGCUCGAAUAUAUUAGCAUGGAAUAAUAGAAUAGGACGUUUGGUUCUAUUUUGUUGGUUUCUAGGACCAUCGUAAUGAUUAAUAGGGACGGUCGGGGGCAUCAGUAUUCAGUUGUCAGAGGUGAAAUUCUUGGAUUUACUGAAGACUAACUACUGCGAAAGCAUUUGCCAAGGACGUUUUCAUUAAUCAAGAACGAAAGUUAGGGGAUCGAAGAUGAUCAGAUACCGUCGUAGUCUUAACCAUAAACUAUGCCGACUAGGGAUCGGGUGGUGUUUAUUUACUGACCCACUCGGCACCUUACGAG
Molecule: ribosomal RNA, 666 nt
Filed under: Zygosaccharomyces mellis
Lineage: Eukaryota; Fungi; Ascomycota; Saccharomycetes; Saccharomycetales; Saccharomycetaceae
Description: SSU rRNA
Rfam family: Eukaryotic small subunit ribosomal RNA
Source: RNAcentral